GUUGAACGCUGGCGGCGUGCCUAAUACAUGCAAGUCGAGCGAACAGACGAGGAGCUUGCUCCUCUGACGUUAGCGGCGGACGGGUGAGUAACACGUGGAUAACCUACCUAUAAGACUGGGAUAACUUCGGGAAACCGGAGCUAAUACCGGAUAAUAUAUUGAACCGCAUGGUUCAAUAGUGAAAGACGGUUUUGCUGUCACUUAUAGAUGGAUCCGCGCCGCAUUAGCUAGUUGGUAAGGUAACGGCUUACCAAGGCGACGAUGCGUAGCCGACCUGAGAGGGUGAUCGGCCACACUGGAACUGAGACACGGUCCAGACUCCUACGGGAGGCAGCAGUAGGGAAUCUUCCGCAAUGGGCGAAAGCCUGACGGAGCAACGCCGCGUGAGUGAUGAAGGUCUUCGGAUCGUAAAACUCUGUUAUUAGGGAAGAACAAAUGUGUAAGUAACUAUGCACGUCUUGACGGUACCUAAUCAGAAAGCCACGGCUAACUACGUG
Molecule: ribosomal RNA, 497 nt
Filed under: uncultured bacterium
Lineage: Bacteria
Description: partial 16S ribosomal RNA
Rfam family: Bacterial small subunit ribosomal RNA
Source: RNAcentral